RNAcentral lists this transfer RNA (60 nucleotides) under Cylindraustralia sp. HS-2014. RNAcentral describes it as "tRNA-Ser". Lineage: Eukaryota; Metazoa; Arthropoda; Insecta; Orthoptera; Cylindrachetidae. The record is from RNAcentral.
GAAGUGGAUAAUCUAAAGCUGCUAACUUUUGAAAUAGCGACUAACAUCGUUAACACUUCU